GAUGAACGCUGGCGGCGUGCCUAAUACAUGCAAGUCGAGCGAACGGACGAGAAGCUUGCUUCUCUGAUGUUAGCUGCGGACGGGUGAGUAACACGUGGAUAACCUACCUAUUAGACUGGGAUAACUUCGGGAAACCAUAGCUAAUACCGGAUAAUAUUUUGAACCGCAUGGUUCAAAAGUGAAAGACGGUCUUGCUGUCACUUAUAGAUGGAUCCGCGCUGCAUUAGCUAGUUGGUAAGGUAACGGCUUACCAAGGCAACGAUGCAUAGCCGACCUGAGAGGGUGAUCGGCCACACUGGAACUGAGACACGGUCCAGACUACUACGGGAGGCAGCAGCAGGGAAUAUUCCGAAAUGGGCGAAAGCUUGACGGAGCAACACCGCGUGAGUGAUGAAGGUCUUCGGACCGUAAAAAGCUGUUAUUAGGGAAGAACAUAUGUGUAAGUAACUGUGCACAUAUUGACGGUACCUAAUCAGAAAGCCACGGCUAACUACAUG
Molecule: ribosomal RNA, 497 nt
Filed under: uncultured bacterium
Lineage: Bacteria
Description: partial 16S ribosomal RNA
Rfam family: Bacterial small subunit ribosomal RNA
Source: RNAcentral